Molecule: microRNA precursor, 67 nt
Filed under: Bombyx mori (domestic silkworm)
Lineage: Eukaryota; Metazoa; Arthropoda; Insecta; Lepidoptera; Bombycidae
Description: mir-2774 microRNA precursor family
Rfam family: mir-2774 microRNA precursor family
Source: Rfam by way of RNAcentral
ACAACAUUUGGAUCGUCGGUCUACCGAGCAAUAUCACCCCCUCGGUGGAAGCUCUUCCCUCCGUCAU